CUACGGGCUGCAGCAGUGAGGAAUAUUGCACAAUGGGGGGAACCCUGAUGCAGCAACGCUGCGUGGAGGAUGACGCAUUUCGGUGUGUAAACUCCUUUUAUAUGUCAAGAAAAUGACGGUAGCAUAUGAGUAAGCACCGGCUAACUCCGUGCCAGCAGCCGCGGUAAUACGUAGGGUGCAAGCGUUACUCGGAAUCACUGGGCGUAAAGGACGCGUAGGCGGGUUGGAAAGUCAGGUGUGAAAUCCUACAGCUUAACUGUAGAACUGCACUUGAAACUUCUAAUCUAGAGUAUGGGAGGGGGAGAUGGAAUUAGUGGUGUAGGGGUAAAAUCCGUAGAUAUCACUAGGAAUACCUAAAGCGAAGGCGAUCUCCUGGAACAUUACUGACGCUAAGGCGUGAAAGCGUGGGGAGCAAACAGGAUUAGAUACCCUGGUAGUC
RNAcentral lists this ribosomal RNA (439 nucleotides) under uncultured bacterium. Its description in RNAcentral is "partial 16S ribosomal RNA". It matches the Rfam family "Bacterial small subunit ribosomal RNA", at positions 339 to 795 of the family's 1533-position model. The record is from RNAcentral.